GCCCAAUUAAAAUUCACCUCUCUCCCCGUGACCGUACGACUACCUGUGCCUUUUUCCUCUCUCUUCAAUGCCCUUUUUCUCUCUCUCUAAAGUAUAUGUUUCUGCGUCUGCAAUAUAGGGUUUAUGACCUCUUCCUACCUUGCAAAACCCUAAUUUUUUUAACCCAUGAAUAAUUCUUUUAGGUGCUGGUGGUAUAUUUAGAAUCACGCGAUGGAUGGAACAAUCAACAAUGAAGGAAGUGGUGGAGGCAGUGGGGAUGCUUCAACUAGUGGCACUGGUGGAGCACAAGCGCCUGCUGCUCCGGAGCCAAUUUCGGCGCAGGCAAAUGCACCGCCGCCGUUUCUAAGCAAGACUUAUGACAUGGUAGACGACCCCGCGACGGACGCGAUCGUUUCCUGGAGUCCGACGAAUAACAGCUUCGUGGUUUGGAACCCACCAGAAUUCGCGCGCGACCUGCUACCCAAGUAUUUCAAGCACAACAACUUCUCCAGCUUCGUUAGGCAGCUCAACACCUACGGUUUCCGGAAGGUUGAUCCAGACCGCUGGGAAUUUGCCAAUGAGGGAUUCUUGAGGGGUCAAAAGCA
Molecule: unclassified non-coding RNA, 584 nt
Filed under: Hevea brasiliensis (rubber tree)
Lineage: Eukaryota; Viridiplantae; Streptophyta; Magnoliopsida; Malpighiales; Euphorbiaceae
Source: RNAcentral